This 692-nucleotide non-coding RNA is filed under the name Steinernema carpocapsae. Lineage: Eukaryota; Metazoa; Nematoda; Chromadorea; Rhabditida; Steinernematidae. The record is from RNAcentral. RNAcentral also lists the same sequence under 1 other name.
UAGGCUAUGUUUAUAUAAUAAUUAAAUUUGAUCAUGGUUAACAAGUUGGGUUAAAAUGAUGUUAUCUAUUUUUGAUUCAUUUAGUGGGCAAUAUUUUUUAACCCCGGCUCUAUAUCGCUUGUAUAAUAUUUGUUCCAGAAUAAUCGGCUAGACCAAUUAAGCUUGUACUCUAAUUGUGGUAAAAUUAAACUUUAUUUUUUAUAUUUUUCUUUUUUUGGUAGAAUGAGAAAGGUUUUAUAUUUUUUUGUUUAAUUUGUAAGAUUUAAUAAGCGAACCAGAUUAGUACCUGGUUAGAUAAAAUUUAAAAGUGCAGGAGUAAAGUUAUAUUUAAACUGUAAAGAUAUUGGCAGGUCUCUUAAAUUAUCUUUGGAGGUUGGGUAAUAAUUGAGAACCCUCAUUUUCAGCUUUUUUUUUUGGCGCAUGUAUGAUCGUUUAUUUUAUUCUUAAAGAUUGUAAUUAGAAAUAAUUCUUUAAAAAAAUAGAUAAAUACCUGGUUUAUAAAAAAGUUUUAAUCUGACCUACAAUAUUUUAUAUUUUGGAUUUAUUUUUUUGAGAAUUUAAUGAAAUUGUAAAAGACAGUAAAUUAAUUUUGAUAUUUAAUUGAAGUUUAUCUAGAGACGGUACAAAUCAUCCAUCAAUUGCCCAAAGGGGAGUAAGUUGUAGUAAAGUAGGUUUAGGGGAAUCUGUACCUA